This 253-nucleotide ribosomal RNA is filed under the name uncultured bacterium. RNAcentral's name for it is "partial 16S ribosomal RNA". It matches the Rfam family "Bacterial small subunit ribosomal RNA", at positions 524 to 776 of the family's 1533-position model. The record is from RNAcentral.
UACGGAGGGGGCUAGCGUUGUUCGGAAUUACUGGGCGUAAAGCGCACGUAGGCGGCUUUGUAAGUUAGAGGUGAAAGCCCAGGGCUCAACCCUGGAAUUGCCUUUAAGACUGCAUCGCUUGAACAUCGGAGAGGUAAGUGGAAUUCCGAGUGUAGAGGUGAAAUUCGUAGAUAUUCGGAAGAACACCAGUGGCGAAGGCGACUACCUGGCCUGUUCUUGACGCUGAGGCGCGAAAGCUAGGGGAGCAAACGGG